GACGAACGCUGGCGGCGUGCUUAACACAUGCAAGUCGAACGGAAAGGCCCCUUCGGGGGUACUCGAGUGGCGAACGGGUGAGUAACACGUGGGUAAUCUGCCCUGCACUUCGGGAUAAGCCUGGGAAACUGGGUCUAAUACCGGAUAGGACCAAAAGGCGCAUGCCUUGUGGUGGAAAGCUUUUGCGGUGUGGGAUGGGCCCGCGGCCUAUCAGCUUGUUGGUGGGGUGACGGCCUACCAAGGCGACGACGGGUAGCCGGCCUGAGAGGGUGUCCGGCCACACUGGGACUGAGAUACGGCCCAGACUCCUACGGGAGGCAGCAGUGGGGAAUAUUGCACAAUGGGCGCAAGCCUGAUGCAGCGACGCCGCGUGGGGGAUGACGGCCUUCGGGUUGUAAACCUCUUUCGCCAUCGACGAAGGUCCGGG
RNAcentral lists this ribosomal RNA (427 nucleotides) under Mycobacteriaceae bacterium Ellin7064. Its description in RNAcentral is "bacterial SSU rRNA". It matches the Rfam family "Bacterial small subunit ribosomal RNA", at positions 28 to 457 of the family's 1533-position model. The record is from RNAcentral. Lineage: Bacteria; Bacillati; Actinomycetota; Actinomycetes; Mycobacteriales; Mycobacteriaceae.